This 460-nucleotide ribosomal RNA is filed under the name uncultured bacterium. RNAcentral's name for it is "partial 16S ribosomal RNA". It matches the Rfam family "Bacterial small subunit ribosomal RNA", at positions 338 to 795 of the family's 1533-position model. The record is from RNAcentral.
CCUACGGGUGGCUGCAGUGAGGAAUAUUGGUCAAUGGACGAGAGUCUGAACCAGCCAAGUAGCGUGAAGGAUGACUGCCCUAUGGGUUGUAAACUUCUUUUAUAUGGGAAUAAAACAGGGUAUGCAUACCCUCUUGUAUGUAACAUAUGAAUAAGGAUCGGCUAACUCCGUGCCAGCAGCCGCGGUAAUACGGAGGAUCCGAGCGUUAUCCGGAUUUAUUGGGUUUAAAGGGAGCGUAGGUGGUUUGUUAAGUCAGUUGUGAAAGUUUGUGGCUCAACCUCAGAAUUGCAGUUGAUACUGGCAGUCUUGAGUACAGUAGAGGUAGGCGGAAUGCGUGGUGUAGCGGUGAAAUGCUUAGAUAUCACGAAGAACUCCGAUUGCGAAGGCAGCUCACUGGGCUGCAACUGACACUGAUGCUCGAAAGUGUGGGUAGCAAACAGGAUUAGAUACCCUUGUAGUC